This 626-nucleotide ribosomal RNA is filed under the name Micarea laeta. Its description in RNAcentral is "SSU rRNA". It matches the Rfam family "Bacterial small subunit ribosomal RNA", at positions 402 to 1113 of the family's 1533-position model. The record is from RNAcentral. Lineage: Eukaryota; Fungi; Ascomycota; Lecanoromycetes; Lecanorales; Micareaceae.
UGAAGCAAUAUCGAUUUGAUCGAAUAAAAUUCUGGAUAAAGUAAUGAUAAUGACAUUGUUUAUCCNUGAGUCUUGACCAAGUUACGUGCCAGCAGUCGCGGUAAUACGUANAANACUAGUGUUAUUCAUCUUUAANGGGUUUAAAGGGUACCUAGACGGCANACUAAGCCUUAACUGGAACUGGUAUGCUAGAGUUACUUGUAAGGAAGUUUUAAAGUACUAGAGGAGUAGAGAUAAAAUUCAAUCAUACCUUUUUUCUUAGGAAAAACUUCGGCACAGGUAUAGGUGAAAACAUCUUCUUAUGGGAUAACUGACGUUGAGGGACGAAGGCUUUUUAUAAUGAACAGGAUUAGAUACCCUGGUAGUCGAAGCAGUAAACGCUGAGUGUCAUAGAUUAGAUUUAAAUUUAUUCUAUAAAUGAAAGUGUAAGCACUCCACCUCAAGAGUAAUUUGNCAACAUUGGAACUGAAAUCAUUAGACCGUAUCUGAAACCAGUAGUGAAGUAUGUUAUUUAAUUUGAUAAUCCGCAAAAACCUUACCACAACUUGAANACUUACAUAUUUACUUAUCUACCUGUAAUGUGCAGUUUCUUGCUUACGCAGCUACAUGUGCAGUUUCUUGCUUCC